Molecule: ribosomal RNA, 253 nt
Filed under: uncultured bacterium
Lineage: Bacteria
Description: partial 16S ribosomal RNA
Rfam family: Bacterial small subunit ribosomal RNA
Source: RNAcentral
UACAGAGGCCAAGAGCGUUGUUCGGAUUUACUGGGCGUAAAGGGCGCGUAGGCGGUGAGGCGUGUCAAGUGUGAAAUCUCCGGGCUCAACCCGGAAAGUGCGCUUGAAACUACCCCACUCGAGUCUGGGAGAGGGAAUCGGAAUGCAGGGUGUAGCGGUGAAAUGCGUUGAUAUCCUGCAGAACACCGGAGGCGAAGGCGGAUUCCUUGAACAGCACUGACGCUGAGGCGCGAAAGUCGGGGGAGCAAACAGG